UCCCUGGUGGCUCAGAGGGUAAAGCAUCUGCCUGCAAUGCAGGAGACUUGGGUUCGAUCCCUGGGUUAGGAA
Molecule: transfer RNA, 72 nt
Filed under: Bos taurus (domestic cattle)
Lineage: Eukaryota; Metazoa; Chordata; Mammalia; Artiodactyla; Bovidae
Also listed under: 4 other names
Rfam family: tRNA
About the family: Transfer RNA (tRNA) molecules are approximately 80 nucleotides in length. Their secondary structure includes four short double-helical elements and three loops (D, anti-codon, and T loops). Further hydrogen bonds mediate the characteristic L-shaped molecular structure. tRNAs have two regions of fundamental functional importance: the anti-codon, which is responsible for specific mRNA codon recognition, and the 3' end, to which the tRNAs corresponding amino acid is attached (by aminoacyl-tRNA synthetases). tRNAs cope with the degeneracy of the genetic code in two manners: having more than one tRNA (with a specific anti-codon) for a particular amino acid; and 'wobble' base-pairing, i.e. permitting non-standard base-pairing at the 3rd anti-codon position.
Source: Rfam by way of RNAcentral